GACCCUAAAAAGUCCUAUAAACACAAAGGUUCGGUCCCAGCCUUAAAAUCAGUUUUUACCCCAUAUACACAUGCAAGUCUCCGCACCCCUGUGAGAACGCCCUUAACCUCCCUACUAGGGACGAGGAGCCGGUAUCAGGCACAAUAAUUAGCCCAAGACACCUAGCCAUGCCACACCCACACGGGUCUCCAGCAGUGAUCAACAUUGAACAUAAGCGACAGCUUGAUUCAGUCAAGGUAAAGAGAGCCGGCAAAUCUGGUGCCAGCCGCCGCGGUUACACCACGUGGCUCAAAUUGUAUUCUUUCGGCGUAAAGCGUGAUUUAAGUAAUCACUAAACUAGAGCCAAACUUAAAUUAAGCUGUAAAAAACUUGUUAUUUAGGAGGCCCAAAAACGAAAGUUGCUCUAACUUAACCAACUUGAACUCACGACAGCUAGGACACAAACUGGGAUUAGAUACCCCACUAUGCCUAGCCGUAAACCUUAAACUACUUCCAAAUCGCCAGGGAACUACGAGCAAAGCUUAAAACCCAAAGGACUUGACGGUACCCCAUAUCCCC
This 558-nucleotide ribosomal RNA is filed under the name Gastrotheca trachyplevra. RNAcentral's name for it is "partial small subunit ribosomal RNA". It matches the Rfam family "Bacterial small subunit ribosomal RNA", at positions 9 to 930 of the family's 1533-position model. The record is from RNAcentral. Lineage: Eukaryota; Metazoa; Chordata; Amphibia; Anura; Hemiphractidae.